AGCGCAGGCGGGAAGACAAGUUGGAAGUGAAAUCUAUGGGCUCAACCCAUAAACUGCUUUCAAAACUGUUUUUCUUGAGUAGUGCAGAGGUGGGCGGAAUUCCCGGUGUAGCGGUGGAAUGCGUAGAUAUCGGGAGGAACACCAGUGGCGAAGGCGGCCUACUGGGCACCAACUGACGCUGAGGCUCGAAAGCAUGGGUAGCAAACA
RNAcentral lists this ribosomal RNA (207 nucleotides) under uncultured bacterium. Its description in RNAcentral is "partial 16S ribosomal RNA". It matches the Rfam family "Bacterial small subunit ribosomal RNA", at positions 568 to 774 of the family's 1533-position model. The record is from RNAcentral.